Molecule: unclassified non-coding RNA, 289 nt
Filed under: uncultured fungus
Lineage: Eukaryota; Fungi
Description: partial contains 5.8S rRNA, ITS2 and 28S rRNA
Rfam family: Eukaryotic large subunit ribosomal RNA
Source: RNAcentral
AAGGAGUCUAACAUAUCUGCGAGUAUUUGGGUGUCAAACCCGAGUGCGCAAUGAAAGUGAACUUAGGAGCGAUCCGCAGGGUGCACCUUCGACCGACCUGGAUCUUUAGUGAUGGAUUUGAGUAAGAGCAUAUAUGUUGGGACCCGAAAGAUGGUGAACUAUGCCUGAAUAGGGCGAAGCCAGGGGAAACUCUGGUGGAGGCUCGUAGAGAUUCUGACGUGCAAAUCGCUUGUCAGAUUUGGGUAUAGGGGCGAAAGACUAAUCGAACCAUCUAGUAGCUGGUUCCUGC